Long non-coding RNA from Patella vulgata (common limpet), 690 nucleotides. RefSeq lists it as uncharacterized. Lineage: Eukaryota; Metazoa; Mollusca; Gastropoda; Patellidae. The record is from RefSeq and is a predicted model, not a curated record. The transcript has 2 exons.
UGUACUUUUGCUCAAACCAUAUGCGAUGUUUGAACGUUGGCGUUCCAUUUAAAAGAUAAGGUCAUACAGACAGAUAAAGAAAAUGAAUUGCAUUGAAUUGUCACGAUCAUGUUAACGUGACGGAACGUUCACUAUACAGCGCUCCCUGGAGGCCAGUUUUAUCUGAUAGAUACUGGAGAGGUCGGCCAUUGAAUUAACAACAAAUUCGCAACACUGACUUAAAAUAGCUACGAGAUGAACAUAAUUGCUAUGAUUGGUUUGAUUGUUAUUGCCUUGGUGGGCAUUGGCGGCGGCGCUGCAGUGACCAACCCUAUCCUCACCCCUGUCAUGCCAAAAGGUUGUAUGCAUAACGGAAAGAUGUAUGAAGAUGGGGAGAAGACAACCUCCAAUCCUUGUUCGCCGUGUUUUUGUCAUAAUGGUUAUAUGGCCUGUUUGGCAAUUGAUUGCAUGAUGCCAAAUUGUGUUGAUUCUGUAAGAAAACCAGACCAGUGCUGUUCUACUUGUCCAAAUGGUGCUAACUGUUAUCUACCUGAUGGAACUACAAUACUGAAACAUGGUGACUCGCAAAAAAUGGCCGACGGAAGUACGUGUAAAUGUGCAUCAAGAUUUGGAUUUGGAUUUGGACCCGGUAAUCCCAAAGCACUUUGUAGCCAAAUAGCUGAUAUAAAACCAUAAUAGUAUUAAUCUUAA